CGCGCUAUCUGCAGUCGAGGGGCAGCACAGGUAGUAAUACUGGGUGGCGACCGGCAAACGGGUGCGGAACACGUACGUAACCUUCCUCUAAAUGGAGCAUAGCCCGAAGAAAUUCGGAUUAAUACUCCAUAAGAUUGUAGAGUGGCAUCACUCAGCAAUUAAAGAAAUUCGUUUAGAGAUGGGCGUGCGGCUGAUUAGGUAGUUGGUGAGGUAACGGCUCACCAAGCCGACGAUCAGUAACUGGCGUGAGAGCGCGACCAGUCACACGGGCACUGAGACACGGGCCCGACUCCUACGGGAGGCAGCAGUAAGGAAUAUUGGUCAAUGGACGCAAGUCUGAACCAGCCAUGCCGCGUGAAGGAUGAAGGUCCUCUGGAUUGUAAACUCCUUUUAUAUGGGAAGAAACCACUUUUAUCUAAAGGUGUUGACGGUACCAUAGGAAUAAGCACCGGCUAACUCCGUGCCAGCAGCCGCGGUAAUACGGAGGGUGCAAGCGUUAUCCGGAUUCACUGGGUUUAAAGGGUGCGUAGGCGGAUUAGUAAGUCCGUGGUGAAAUCUCCGAGCUUAACUCGGAGACUGCCGUGGAUACUAUUAAUCUUGAAUGUUGUGGAGGUUAGCGGAAUAUGUCAUGUAGCGGUGAAAUGCUUAGAUAUGACAUAGAACACCAAUUGCGAAGGCAGCUGGCUACACAAAUAUUGACGCUGAGGCACGAAAGCGUGGGGAUCAAACAGGAUUAGAUACCCUGGUAGUCCACGCCCUAAACGAUGAUUACUCGACAUUUGCGAUAUACAGUAAGUGUCUGAGCGAAAGCAUUAAGUAAUCCACCUGGGAAGUACGACCGCAAGGUUGA
This 850-nucleotide ribosomal RNA is filed under the name uncultured bacterium. RNAcentral describes it as "bacterial SSU rRNA". It matches the Rfam family "Bacterial small subunit ribosomal RNA", at positions 47 to 897 of the family's 1533-position model. The record is from RNAcentral.